UACGUAGGUGGCAAGCGUUGUCCGGAUUUAUUGGGUUUAAAGGGUGCGUAGGCGGUUCCUUAAGUCAGUGGUGAAAUACAGCCGCUUAACGGUUGAGGUGCCAUUGAUACUGGGGAACUUGAGUACAGACGAGGUAGGCGGAAUUGACGGUGUAGCGGUGAAAUGCAUAGAUAUCGUCAAGAACACCGAUAGCGAAGGCAGCUUACUAGACUGUAACUGGCGCUGAUGCACGAAAGUGUGGGGAUCAAACAGG
Molecule: ribosomal RNA, 253 nt
Filed under: uncultured bacterium
Lineage: Bacteria
Description: partial 16S ribosomal RNA
Rfam family: Bacterial small subunit ribosomal RNA
Source: RNAcentral